AUAUGGUCGACCUGCAGGCGGCCGCGAAUUCACUAGUGAUUCGUAUUACCGCGGCUGCUGGCACGGAGUUAGCCGGAGCUUAUUCUCCCGGUACUGUCAUUAUCAUCCCGGGUAAAAGAGCUUUACGACCCUAAGGCCUUCAUCACUCACGCGGCAUUGCUGGAUCAGGCUUGCGCCCAUUGUCCAAUAUUCCCCACUGCUGCCUCCCGUAGGAGUCUGGGCCGUGUCUCAGUCCCAGUGUGGCUGAUCAUCCUCUCAGACCAGCUAAGGAUCGUCGGCUUGGUAGGCCUUUACCCCACCAACUACCUAAUCCUACGCGGGCUCAUCCCUGGCCGAUAAAUCUUUGGUCCGAAGACAUCAUCCGGUAUUAGCAGUCAUUUCUAACUGUUAUUCCGAAGCCAAGGGCAGAUUCCCACGCGUUACGCACCCGUGCGCCACUAACCCCGAAGGGUUCGUUCGACUUGCAUGUGUUAGGCAUGCCGCCAGCGUUCGUUCUGAGCCAGGAUCAAACUCUAAUCGAAUUCCCGCGGCCGCC
This 535-nucleotide ribosomal RNA is filed under the name uncultured Alphaproteobacteria bacterium. RNAcentral's name for it is "partial 16S ribosomal RNA". Lineage: Bacteria; Pseudomonadati; Pseudomonadota; Alphaproteobacteria. The record is from RNAcentral.